UGUAAACCUCUUUUAGCAGGGAAGAAGCGAAAGUGACGGUACCUGCAGAAAAAGCACCGGCUAACUACGUGCCAGCAGCCGCGGUAAUACGUAGGGUGCAAGCGUUGUCCGGAAUUAUUGGGCGUAAAGAGCUCGUAGGCGGUUUGUCGCGUCUGCUGUGAAAUCCCGAGGCUCAACCUCGGGUCUGCAGUGGGUACGGGCAGACUAGAGUGCGGUAGGGGAGAUUGGAAUUCCUGGUGUAGCGGUGGAAUGCGCAGAUAUCAGGAGGAACACCGAUGGCGAAGGCAGAUCUCUGGGCCGCUACUGACGCUGAGGAGCGAAAGGGUGGGGAGCAAACAGGCUUAGAUACCCUGGUAGUCCACCCCGUAAACGUUGGGCGCUAGAUGUGGGGACCAUUCCACGGUUUCCGUGUCGUAGCUAACGCAUUAAGCGCCC
Molecule: ribosomal RNA, 435 nt
Filed under: Plantibacter sp.
Lineage: Bacteria; Bacillati; Actinomycetota; Actinomycetes; Micrococcales; Microbacteriaceae
Description: bacterial SSU rRNA
Rfam family: Bacterial small subunit ribosomal RNA
Source: RNAcentral